This 487-nucleotide ribosomal RNA is filed under the name uncultured bacterium. Its description in RNAcentral is "bacterial SSU rRNA". It matches the Rfam family "Bacterial small subunit ribosomal RNA", at positions 28 to 501 of the family's 1533-position model. The record is from RNAcentral.
GACGAACGCUGGCGGUGUGCUUAACACAUGCAAGUGGUGCGACGAACCAGAGCUUGCUCUGGGGCAAAGCCGCGAACGGGUGAGUAACACGUGGGUAAUCUACCCCGAUGACCGGGACAACCCGAGGAAACUCGGGCUAAUACCGGAUGUGGUACGGAGACAUAAGUCUCUUUACUAAAGGUAGCUUCGGCUUCCGCAUUGGGAGGGGCCCGCGGCCCAUUAGCUAGUUGGAGGGGUCAAGGCCUACCAAGGCAACGAUGGGUAGCUGGUCUGAGAGGACGAUCAGCCACACUGGGACUGAGACACGGCCCAGACUCCUACGGGAGGCAGCAGUGGGGAAUCUUGCGCAAUGCGCGAAAGCGUGACGCAGCAACACCGCGUGAGGGAAGACGGCCUUAGGGUUGUAAACCUCUUUCAGAUGGGACGAAGGUGAUGCGGUGAAUAGCCGAUGUCAUUGACGGUACCGUCAGAAGAAGCUCCGGCUAAC